Molecule: long non-coding RNA, 1085 nt
Organism: Ictalurus punctatus (channel catfish)
Lineage: Eukaryota; Metazoa; Chordata; Actinopteri; Siluriformes; Ictaluridae
Source: Ensembl
AAGCAGGAUUCAAGAAUGACAGAAAGAUGGAGGAAGCAAAGUACAGAGCUGGAAUUUCCUCAGGGAUAUUAUGGAACAGAUUUUGUGGAUUGAGAAGGGAAACAUGAGUUUAAUCCGUUUUAAAGAAACAUUUUCUAUCAUAAAUUGUAGCAAAAUAUUUUUUUAAGUGAAUGGGCCCGUGACCCUGAAAAGGAGUAAGCGGUAGAAGACGGAUGGAUGGCUGGAUGGUCUGAAUGCUUUUUUCUACAGUCUGUCAUUUUGAAUCAGCAGGGAAUGGAAGGAAUGAACCUGAGAACAACUUGCAUCUCUGCCCCGCCCUGCUCAUGAAUGUGUGAAGGACUGGUCAUGUGUUUUUAGAUGAGUCCAGCUGAGCAGGUUCUUCUGGGUGAUCUGGGUGUGGCUGUCAUCACCUACACUCUCGCGUGCACACACACAGGGUCGCGGGGAAGCCUGGAGCCUAUCCCAGGGAGCAUCGGGCACAAGGCGGGGUACAACCUGGACAGGGUGCCAGUCCAUCACAGGGCACACAAUCACACACACACUCACACACCCAUUCAUACACUACAGACACUUUAGACACACCAAUCAGCCUACCAUGCAUGUCUUUGGACUGGGGGAGGAAACCGGAGUAUGAGGCAGGAUGUAUGAGACAGUGUGUAUGAGGCUGUGUGUAUGAGACAAUGUUUAUCAGGUAGUGCUUAUGAGGCAGUAUGUAUGAGGCAGCCUGCAUGAAACAGUGUGUAGGAGACAACAAGUAUGAGGCAGCAUGUAUGAGACGUGUGUAUGAGGCAGUGUGUAUGAGGCAGUGUGUAUGAACCGUGUGUAUGAGACGUGUAUGAAACCAUGUGUUUGAGGCAGUGUGUAUGAACCGUGUGUAUGAGGCAGUGUGUAUGAGGCAGUGUGUAUGAACCGUGUGUAUGAGAGGAGUGUAUGAGGCAGCGUGUAUGAGACGUGUGUAUGAGGCAGUGUGUAUGAGGCAGUGUGUAUGAACCGUGUGUAUGAAACCGCGUGUAUGAGACAUGUGUAUGAACCGUGUGAAUGAGACAUGUGUAUGAGGCGAGUGUAUGAGGCAGCGUGUAUGAGAC